This 468-nucleotide ribosomal RNA is filed under the name uncultured bacterium. RNAcentral's name for it is "partial 16S ribosomal RNA". It matches the Rfam family "Bacterial small subunit ribosomal RNA", at positions 28 to 507 of the family's 1533-position model. The record is from RNAcentral.
GACGAACGCUGGCGGCGUGCCUAACACAUGCAAGUCGAACGGAAACGCCCUGCUUUUGUGGGGUGCUCGAGUGGCGAACGGGUGAGUAACACGUGAGUAACCUGCCCUUGACUUUGGGAUAACUUCAGGAAACUUGGGCUAAUACCGGAUAGGAUCUCCUGCUGCAUGGUGGGGGUUGGAUAGUUUCGGCGGUUGGGGAUGGACUCGCGGCUUAUCAGCUUGUUGGUUGGGUAGUGUCUUACCAAGGCUUUGACGGGUAGCCGGCCUGAGAGGGUGACCGGACACAUUGGGACUGGGAUGCGACACAGACUCGUACGGGAGGCAGGGGUGGGGAAUAGUGCACUAGGGGCGGAAGGCUGAUGCAGCAACGCCGCGUGCGGGAAGACGGGAUUCGGGUUGGAAAGCGCUUUCGCCUGAGACGGAGCGUGAGUGACGGUAAUGGGUAAAGAAGCACCGGCUAACUACGUG